UGAAUACGAGAUGCUACGGCGUCGAAGCAGUCUAUGUCAUACUUCCAAGAAAAGCUUGCACUGUCAUAAACAAAUAAUGCCUGUACCAUAACCGACACAGGUGGGUAGGUAGAGCAUACUAAGGGGCGCGAGAUAACUCUCUCUAAGGAACUCGGCAAAAUGACUCCGUAACUUCGGGAGAAGGAGUGCCUUAUUUAUAAGGUUGCAAUAACAAGAUCCAAGCAACUGUUUACCAAAACACAGGUCUCCGCUAAGUCGUAAGACGAUGUAUGGGGGCUGACGCCUGCCCAGUGCCAGAAGGUUAAAGAAGUUGGUUAGCAUCCGCGAAGCUGAUAACUGAAGCCCUGGUGAACGGCGGCCGUAACGAUAACGGUCCUAAGGUAGCGAAAUUCCUUGUCGGGUAAGUUCCGACCCGCACGAAAGGCGUAAUGAUUUGGAUACUGUCUCGGAGAGGGGCUCGGUGAAAUAGACUUGUCUGUGAAGAUGCGGACUACCUGCACCAGGACAGAAAGACCCUAUGAAGCUUUACUGUAACCUGAAAUUGAAAUUGGACUUUACUUGCGCAGUAUAGGUGGGAGGCGUUGAGAAUAUUCUUGCGGGAUUAUUGGAGCCAUCAGUGAGAUACCACUCUUGUAAUGUUAGAUUUCUAACUUUGUAUCAUUAUCUGGUCAAAGAACAGUUUCAGGCGGGCAGUUUGACUGGGGCGGUCGCCUCCUAAACGGUAACGGAGGCGCACAAAGGUUUCCUCUGAACGGGUAGAAAUCGUAUCUAGAGUGUAAAGGCAUAAGGAAGCUUGACUGUGAGACCUACAAGUCGAGCAGGGACGAAAGUCGGUCUUAGUGAUCUGACGGUGCUGAGUGGAAAGGCCGUCACUCAACGGAUAAAAGUUACUCUAAGGAUAACAGGCUGAUCUCCCCCAAGAGUUCACAUCGACGGGGAGGUUUGGCACCUCGAUGUCGGCUCAUCGCAUCCUGGGGCGGUAGUACGUCCCAAGGGUUGGGCUGUUCGCCCAUGAAAGCGGUACGCGAGCUGGGUUCAGAACGUCGUGAGACAGUUCGGUCCAUAUCCGGUGUAGGCGUUAGAAUAUUGAGAGGAGCCUUCUUUAGUACGAGAGGACCGAGAAGGACAUACCUCUGGUGUACCAGUUAUCGUGCCAACGGUAAACGCUGGGUAGCUAUGUGUGGAGUGGAUAACCGCUGAAAGCAUCUAAGUGGGAAGCCCACCUCAAGAUAAGUAUUCUCAU
Molecule: ribosomal RNA, 1243 nt
Filed under: metagenome
Description: bacterial LSU rRNA
Rfam family: Bacterial large subunit ribosomal RNA
Source: RNAcentral